GGACAGAUGGGAGCUUGCUCCCUGAUGUUAGCGGCGGACGGGUGAGUAACACGUGGGUAACCUGCCUGUAAGACUGGGAUAACUCCGGGAAACCGGGGCUAAUACCGGAUGCUUGUUUGAACCGCAUGGUUCAAACAUAAAAGGUGGCUUCGGCUACCACUUACAGAUGGACCCGCGGCGCAUUAGCUAGUUGGUGAGGUAAUGGCUCACCAAGGCAACGAUGCGUAGCCGACCUGAGAGGGUGAUCGGCCACACUGGGACUGAGACACGGCCCAGACUCCUACGGGAGGCAGCAGUAGGGAAUCUUCCGCAAUGGACGAAAGUCUGACGGAGCAACGCCGCGUGAGUGAUGAAGGUUUUCGGAUCGUAAAGCUCUGUUGUUAGGGAAGAACAAGUGCCGUUCAAAUAGGGCGGCACCUUGACGGUACCUAACCAGAAAGCCACGGCUAACUACGUGCCAGCAGCCGCGGUAAUACGUAGGUGGCAAGCGUUGUCCGGAAUUAUUGGGCGUAAAGGGCUCGCAGGCGGUUUCUUAAGUCUGAUGUGAAAGCCCCCGGCUCAACCGGGGAGGGUCAUUGGAAACUGGGGAACUUGAGUGCAGAAGAGGAGAGUGGAAUUCCACGUGUAGCGGUGAAAUGCGUAGAGAUGUGGAGGAACACCAGUGGCGAAGGCGACUCUCUGGUCUGUAACU
This 691-nucleotide ribosomal RNA is filed under the name Bacillus sp. YIM 94065. RNAcentral describes it as "bacterial SSU rRNA". It matches the Rfam family "Bacterial small subunit ribosomal RNA", at positions 68 to 741 of the family's 1533-position model. Lineage: Bacteria; Bacillati; Bacillota; Bacilli; Caryophanales; Bacillaceae. The record is from RNAcentral.